Long non-coding RNA from Halichondria panicea, 792 nucleotides. RefSeq lists it as uncharacterized. The record is from RefSeq and is a predicted model, not a curated record. The transcript is spliced from 2 exons. NCBI's taxonomy places the organism in Eukaryota, Metazoa, Porifera, Demospongiae, Suberitida, Halichondriidae.
UUCUGACAAUGGAUAUUCUCGUUCACUUUCGUGACAUUUAUAUUCGUGUACUAUCGUGUACUAGAAGUCAGUUCCCGUUUUAUCAUUAUUGGAAUGGCUCUUAGCUGAAGCUUCUCUCUUCUCUGAAGCUUAGAAAACAUUAUUCUGAAGACUGAACAACAAGGGAAGAGGUAUAAUCAAGCUUGUUAAGGUCAGACAUUUUUGUGUGGGCCCUGUGCUAUGAAAUCUUGUUUAUGUUUGGCAAGAUCAAGCUAGGUAGACUAUAGUUUCAUCAUUAAUAGGUGGAUCAAGUGAAGAGUGUGAGCUAGAGAAGUUGGUGCUGCCAUCAUCAGCUCGUUGACAAUGACACUAUAACCUGUUUAAUACGAGAAAUUUAAUAGAUCUACACGUGUUUAGAAUGUCUACUUCUCUGUACAGGAGCAAUGGCUAAUAUCCAGCUAUCCCAACAGUGCUCCUCUUGGCUAUACUAACGGACGAGACUGGACAGUUUGAGGACUGAAGUAUGACCUGCUCGUUCGAGCGUUGCUGGGUAGCUCAGAGGCAUCAAGAGAAUCUACGUUUUCUCAAGAGUUACGAGUUGGGGCCUAGAAUCAGAGAAGUCCAGCAGCCUGCUAAAUCUUUUUGAAACGUGGCCUUCAAUCAACCUGAAGUUGCCCUGGGUCACUGUAAUCGUGCUGCAGCACAAUUGGCAACUCCCCAGGCCCUUGUGAAGCAGCUCUCUAUGUGAAUCUUUUGUGUACUCACUCUGUGCAUUUUCUGUGUACAAAUUUCGAUUAUAAAUAUUUUUGCCGA